GACGAACCGUGCGAACGUUGUUCGGAAUCACUGGGCUUAAAGGGCGCGUAGGCGGGCUAUCAAGUCCGGGGUGAAAUCCUCCAGCUCAACUGGAGAAUGGCCUCGGAUACUGAUGGUCUCGAGGGAGAUAGGGGCACACGGAACUGUGGGUGGAGCGGUGAAAUGCGUUGAUAUCCAUAGGAACUCCGGUGGCGAAAGCGGUGUGCUGGAUCUCUUCUGACGCUGAGGCGCGAAAGCCAGGGGAGCAAACGGG
RNAcentral lists this ribosomal RNA (253 nucleotides) under uncultured bacterium. Its description in RNAcentral is "partial 16S ribosomal RNA". It matches the Rfam family "Bacterial small subunit ribosomal RNA", at positions 524 to 776 of the family's 1533-position model. The record is from RNAcentral.